UACGUAGGGGGCAAGCGUUGUCCGGAAUCACUGGGCGUAAAGCGCAUGUAGGCGGGAUAUUAAGUCAGGUGUGAAAACUAUGGGCUCAACCUGUAGAUUGCAUCUGAAACUGGUAUUCUUGAGUAUUGGAGAGGAAAGUGGAAUUCCUAGUGUAGCGGUGAAAUGCGUAGAUAUUAGGAGGAACACCAGUGGCGAAGGCGACUUUCUGGCCAAAAACUGACGCUGAGAUGCGAAAGCGUGGGGAGCAAACAGG
RNAcentral lists this ribosomal RNA (253 nucleotides) under uncultured bacterium. RNAcentral's name for it is "partial 16S ribosomal RNA". It matches the Rfam family "Bacterial small subunit ribosomal RNA", at positions 524 to 776 of the family's 1533-position model. The record is from RNAcentral. RNAcentral also lists the same sequence under 1 other name.